RNAcentral lists this ribosomal RNA (497 nucleotides) under uncultured bacterium. RNAcentral describes it as "partial 16S ribosomal RNA". It matches the Rfam family "Bacterial small subunit ribosomal RNA", at positions 28 to 507 of the family's 1533-position model. The record is from RNAcentral.
GAUGAACGCUGGCGGCGUGCCUAAUACAUGCAAGUCGAGCGGAAGGACGAGAAGCUUGCGGCUUUGACGUUAGCGGCGGACGGGUGAGUAACAUGUGGAUAACCCACCUAUAAGAGGGGGAAAAACUCGGGAAACCGGAGCUAAUACCGGAGAAUAUUUUGAAGCGCAUGGGGGAAAAGUGAAAGACGGCGUUGCGGGCAGUUAUAGAGGGAUCCGCGCUGCAUUAGCUAGUUGGGAAGGUAACGGCUUACCAAGGCAACGAUGCAUAGCCGACCUGAGAGGCUGAUCGGCCACACUGGAACUGAGCCACGGUCCAGACUCCUACGGGAGGCAGCAGUCGGGAAUCUUCCGCAAUGGGCGAAAGCCUGACGCAGCCACGCCGCGUGAGUGAUGAAGGUCUUCGGAUCGUAAAGCUCUGUUAUUGGGGAAGAACAUCUUUCUACGUAGCUGUGCACUUCUUGACGGUACCUAAUCAAAAAGCCCCGGCUAACUACGUG